This is a long non-coding RNA of Oryza brachyantha (malo sina), 2483 nucleotides long. RefSeq lists it as uncharacterized. The record is from RefSeq and is a predicted model, not a curated record. The transcript has 18 exons. Lineage: Eukaryota; Viridiplantae; Streptophyta; Magnoliopsida; Poales; Poaceae.
UCUCUCCUCUCCCCUCUCUCUCUUGGCGGGGAUCCGGCAGCGGCACGGCCGAGGCGGAGCUCGGGUGGCGGCGUACCUCGCCGGGAGGAGCGGCGGCGCGGCCAGAGCACGGAUCUGCGGCGGCUGGGGACGGAGAUGGAUAAAGAAGCCAAGGCGUGCAAGCAACCCUAUCCCCUCGUGGCUCUCCUCCUCUCCGGUCCUCUCGACUUCCUCAUCGUGCAUAUGCCAUGGAGGAGGUGCGGAGAAUACUGGCACAUCUGUGGUUGCAGCGACAAUGGCGCGUGGAGGUCACGUCAAUGUCAUCUUUUCCUUCUCGGCUGCUCCUGCUCCUGCUCCGCCGCCGCGGCGGGGGAGGGGGUGCAGGCAGGUGGUCGUGGGGAGGAGUGACGGCGGCGGGAACUUCUUCAAGCCGUUCAACGUGACGUACGAUCACCACGCGGUGCUCAUCGGGGGCAAGCGCAGGAUGCUCGUCUCCGCUGGGCUGCACUACCCCGUGCCACACCCGAGAUGUGGCCUAGUGUAAUUGCAAAGUGCAAGGAGGGUGGCGCAGAUGUAAUUGAGACCUAUGUCUUUUGGAAUAGGCAUGAGCCAGCUAAAGUAUUACAUUGAAGAAAGAUUUGAUCUGGUGAAAUUUGCGAAGCUGGUUGCUGCCGAAGUGGUUUCCCUGUUUGGUUACAUGACAUCCCUGGCAUAGAGUUCUGAACUGACAAUGAGCCAUUCAAGGCUGAAAUGCAGACUUUUGUGACAAAAGUUGUCACUUUGAUGAAAGAGGAGAAACUUUGUUCUUGGCAAGGUGGUCCCAUUAUAUUACAGCAGAUGGAAAACGUAUGGGAAUAUUCUAGGAAAUUUUGGGCAAGCAGGGAAGAGAUAUAUGCUAUGGGCUACUCAGAUGGCAAUUGGGCUUGACACUGGCAUUCCUUGGGUAAUGUGGAUGCUCCAGAAAAAAUUAUCGAUACAUGCAAUGCAUUUUAUUGUGAUGGUUUCAAGCCAAAUUCUUACAAUAGUCCAACAAUAUGGACUGAAGAUUGGGAUGGAUGGUAUGCUGACUGGGGAGGAGCAUUACCUCACAGGCCAGCCAAAGAUAGUGCUUUUGUUGUCGCUCGUUUCUACCGGAGAAGUGGAAGCUUACAGAAUUAUUAUAUGAGUAUGGCAUUGUAAUGGAGAAGUAUGGGCACUUUUAUAACCCACAAUGGACAGAGGAUGACAUUCUAUUUAAAGGUAUAUUAAGGCAGCCAAAGUGGGGGCAUCUGAAUGUUCUACAUGCUGCUAUCAAACUUUGAGAGCCAGCUCUUAUUGCAGUUGAUUUCUCACCUCAAUAUAUAAAGUUAGGAUCCAUGCAAGAGCCAAAAGACUAGGAUGUGGAAUAUAUUGAAGAUCCUGAUGAAGUUAAACUAGAGGGCCAUGACUCUAUUCCAAAACACAUUCCUGAUCCAAAGGACAAUAAGUGUUGUACUUAGAACUGUCCUACAAAUCCAACUUCUAAUAUUCAAGAAUUUCACUGGCAUAUUAAUUUAUUGAAAUGCAUUAAUUAACAUUAUUUCGAUGGAAUCAUAUGUUCUUUAUAUUAUGAGAACAACCGAGUGCAGACAAAUGUUCCAUCUUACCUAUUAAAGCUUUUUUCAUUAGAAACAUUUCCUAUCUUCUAUUAGCAACAUUGAAUCCACUAUGACUUUAAUGGCUCUAUGAUGUGUAAUAAAAAUAACACAGGAUGGCAUGUAUUUUCUUUUUCUAUAUAUUAAAUCAGCCUGAGUCAUGGAAUGAUGACGACGACGGUGUAUGGAAAACCUAGAUGAUACCGAACCCAGAUUACAGGGGUCGAUGGAAACACAAGGUCUAGUUGGUUGUGGGCUUGCUAAUAUUUCAAAUAUAGAGACCAAUACUAGGAUGUGGUUCAACUUCCAUGACAAAUUUUUCUUCUUGUUUUUAUUGCCUCCUAUAAUAUUAUAUCCUUUUACUUUUCUAAUUCACAACUCAUAAUUCCUCAUGUUGUUAUGUACUUUGAUUGUUUACUACCUCUCUUAAAUGCUGCUUCAUAAUAUCUGAGUAUGGAUUCCUUGACUUCAAUGUACCCAAUCAGGAUUCAGCUUAUCCCCGAAACCAUUCUUUGCAAAUUUUGGGGCCAUUGUAACUUUUGCCAUCCUUGGGACCUUUAUUGCUUCUGUUGUAAUAGGAGUUCUUGUAUGGCGAUUUCUCUUUAUAGGACAAUGUCAUCAGUCAGUAGUGAAGCAACAUCUGGGGAGAAUUUCUUUAUGAUGGUUUCCUAGUUCCUUGAGACCUUUGUUGGCUCAAUGCCAUCAGGUGUUGGAGUUGGAUUUAUCUCUGCUCUUAUAUCCUUAUCCUAGGUUCUAUGUUGAAAACUCUGUUUGCAAAACAUGAAAGACUUAGUACUUAGUAGUGAUCUGUGUGCAUUGAAUCAUAUCUUCAUAAAAUGAUUCAUAAUCUUUCUCCUUUUAAAUAAUUUCACAAGAAAAGUUCUCUUAGAU